Molecule: long non-coding RNA, 717 nt
Filed under: Brassica napus (rape)
Lineage: Eukaryota; Viridiplantae; Streptophyta; Magnoliopsida; Brassicales; Brassicaceae
Description: long non-coding RNA (BNAP_LNC014394)
Source: RNAcentral
ACCCUCACGGAUCAAGUCCGUGGAUUUACGGGUUUCCCCGUUAGGAUAUGAUCAAACAUGUUAUAUUAUCUGAGCCGAGGCCCAAACAAUAUAAUGCAAUGACAUAAGUAUAUGCAACACAACAUCAAUGUAUCAUAAUCAUGUUAUACCCCUCGAGCCGAGCCCGACGAUUUAACUCAAUAUCUUUCACAAACAUCAAUCAUUAUCAUAACAUUAUAUAUCUAAACGCGCAACCUAGCAAUGCAUCAACCAAUACUCUUGUUUUGUAGGCGCUAGUCGCACACACAACAAUCAUAACCCAUAACCGAGACUCACCUCAACGCUUAGAUGAAAGUUUUGGACUGGAAACACUUCUAUCUCGUGGCCGGCUUCACUUUAAACUUUUAUCGGAAAACUCUAGAGCUUUAGAAAUCUUAGGGUUUCGACUUUUUCGAGCUGCUAUGGUUAGGGUUCUAAGCAUGAGAAAUGACUAAGGGGGUGGUCUGCUAUUUAUAGGCUGGAGAAUGAGCUCAGGAGAAGGUAUAGGUUGUGCGUUACAAGCAGGAGCUGUCAUGGGUGCCCCAUGCAACCAAUUGGAUAGAGAUUGGUGUGCAGCCACAAAUCUGUCCAAUUAAAACAAGUUUUGUGGCCAGCCACCAAUUCAACCAAUAGGACAUAAGCAAGAGCUCCUUGGAGGAUUCUCCAGUAAAGGAGUAAGACAUGUCUAGCUGCUUAAGG